GUGUCAGCCGCCGCGGUAAUACGGAGGGGGCUAGCGUUGUUCGGAAUUACUGGGCGUAAAGCGCACGUAGGCGGACCAUCAAGUUGGGGGUGAAAUCCCGGGGCUCAACCCCGGAACUGCCUCCAAAACUGCUGGUCUGGAGGUCGAGAGAGGUGAGUGGAAUUCCGAGUGUAGAGGUGAAAUUCGUAGAUAUUCGGAGGAACACCAGUGGCGAAGGCGGCUCACUGGCUCGAUACUGACGCUGAGGUGCGAAAGCGUGGGGAGCAAACAGGAUUAGAAACCCCGGUAGUCC
This 292-nucleotide ribosomal RNA is filed under the name uncultured bacterium. RNAcentral's name for it is "partial 16S ribosomal RNA". It matches the Rfam family "Bacterial small subunit ribosomal RNA", at positions 505 to 796 of the family's 1533-position model. The record is from RNAcentral.